AAAAACUGGAGAACAACGAUAAAAGACUUGGGAAUAACUCUACCAAAUUUCGUUACCUUUGACCACGAUUUGAUAUGACGAAACUGAUUUCUCCCAAACCCUAACGAUUCUACUCCUUCUCCUUCUCUCUCUUUUUCUCUUUUAUAAAACGAAAAGUGUCUAAAUAAAGCCCUAAUUUCGAGUUUCCUUCUUUUAUAGGCACACUCUAGGGUUUCCAAUUAACCCAACCAAUUAAACCGGAUGAUUUAAAAACAAACCCUAACCCAUUUUCUGGUUCACGGGCGUUACAGUUCGGUACUUGUAUCAAUUAUUU
This 313-nucleotide small RNA is filed under the name Arabidopsis thaliana (thale cress). Its description in RNAcentral is "ATSL043480". Lineage: Eukaryota; Viridiplantae; Streptophyta; Magnoliopsida; Brassicales; Brassicaceae. The record is from RNAcentral.